AGAGUUUGAUCCUGGCUCAGAACGAACGCUGGCGGCAUGCCUAACACAUGCAAGUCGAACGAACCCUUCGGGGUUAGUGGCGCACGGGUGCGUAACGCGUGGGAAUCUGCCCUUAGGUACGGAAUAACAGUGAGAAAUUACUGCUAAUACCGUAUGAUGUCUUCGGACCAAAGAUUUAUCGCCUAGGGAUGAGCCCGCGUAGGAUUAGCUAGUUGGUGAGGUAAAGGCUCACCAAGGCUACGAUCCUUAGCUGGUCUGAGAGGAUGAUCAGCCACACUGGGACUGAGACACGGCCCAGACUCCUACGGGAGGCAGCAGUGGGGAAUAUUGGACAAUGGGCGAAAGCCUGAUCCAGCAAUGCCGCGUGAGUGAAGAAGGCCUUCGGGUUGUAAAGCUCUUUUACCCGGGAAGAUAAUGACCGUACCGGGAGAAUAAGCCCCGGCUAACUCCGUGCCAGCAGCCGCGGUAAUACGGAGGGGGCUAGCGUUGUUCGGAAUCACUGGGCGUAAAGCGUGCGUAGGCGGCCAUUCAAGUCAGAGGUGAAAGCCCAGGG
RNAcentral lists this ribosomal RNA (553 nucleotides) under uncultured freshwater bacterium. RNAcentral describes it as "bacterial SSU rRNA". It matches the Rfam family "Bacterial small subunit ribosomal RNA", at positions 8 to 607 of the family's 1533-position model. The record is from RNAcentral.